RNAcentral lists this transfer RNA (72 nucleotides) under Phrynosoma platyrhinos (Desert horned lizard). RNAcentral describes it as "tRNA-OTHER". The record is from RNAcentral. Lineage: Eukaryota; Metazoa; Chordata; Lepidosauria; Squamata; Phrynosomatidae.
GCCAGUGUGGUGUAGUGGUUCGAGCGUUGGACUAGGACUCUGGGGACCAGGGUUCAAAUCUCAACUCGGCCA